This 1730-nucleotide ribosomal RNA is filed under the name Triticum aestivum (bread wheat). Its description in RNAcentral is "partial small subunit ribosomal RNA". Lineage: Eukaryota; Viridiplantae; Streptophyta; Magnoliopsida; Poales; Poaceae. The record is from RNAcentral.
UGCAAAACAUCCUUCACCCCCGUGCAAAAUAUCCCCAAGCCCCAACUCGAACCCGACUCCACAAACCUAACUAGUGGCUGCCGCCGCCCUCCUCGUGCUAGAUCCACAAUCCUACCGCCGGCCUCGCGCUCCACCCCGUCGUCAAGCCGUCGUGUCGGAGCUCGCAUUGCCCCGCCCCCGAGCUCCACCUCGACAUCCACCUGUCCUUGCGCUCCACCCCUUCCCCCCGAGCUCCAUCCCAAGACCGAGCCGCCGUCCUUGAGAUCCACAUACAAUCGCUGUCCUCGGGCCGCCCCCUCGACAUCCAGCCGUCGUCCUCGCCAAUCCCCGUCCCUGCUGCUGCCGGGGCCCCAUCUCCUGGCCCCCCCUGCCGCCGCCCCUGCUGUUGCCGCGGCUCCAUCUCUGGGCUCUCGCUGCUGCCGCACCUGCUGUUGCCGGGGCUCCAUCUCUGGGCUCUUGCUGCUGCCGGACCUGCUGCAACGGGACCUGCUGCUGCUGGGGAUCCAUCCCCUUCGAGCCGCGCCCCUCUCGAAGCCAGCCGUCGCCAUGCCCGAGUGUCAUACAGGUGGAUAGUUGUUCAACAAAAUGAUAUCUGAACUUCAAGCUGGUACCAUAAAAAAAAUAUUUGCUUCGGUGUUCUGAAGUUUCUCGAUGAAGUGUAAUAUAUUUGACCAUUAGCGACACCCUUCACCAUAAGGCAUAGAUGUACCAAUGAUGUUAUUUCUUGAAGCCAAUUUGAAAUUUUGUAUCUCUUGUGAGUAGCAAGUAAACUGCUCAGGUUGAUCUUAUUUGUAUAUCUUGGAAUUGUUUCCUGGUUGAUAUAUUGGAAGAGCGUUGUUAGUCCAGAAUUAAUCAGUAUAAUUCAGUUUGGUUCAGUUCAGGACAUAGUAAGUAUGCUUUCGAGCAAAUAAUCAAAAUUAUCUGUUAAGAAGAACAUAUCAGGCUUGUGUUUUCAAUCUCCAUGUACUUCUAUGGUUCCAAAUCUUCUCCUAUAGCUUUAUUGUCUUAACUGCUUGUAGAACUGUACUGCAAGUUAGUUUAUUAUUGAAGAAAAAAUCAUUUAUUAUGAUGUUGUCAGCUUGUGCUUAAUUUUGUGAUUGCUGAAGGCAAGGAAAAGAGAUGGUGCAGAAGGAGCUUCAGCAGGCAUGACGGUUUGACAACCACAACAUCGCAAGGCCAUCCCCAUGGCCCGGUAACACUAUUUCAGCCGGGAACCACGACCACCAGCAUGCAGCAUGAGCAAUGGGUAGAGAACGGAUGACUACCUCACUGGGAACCAUGGUCGCGCACGUGCAGCAGAAAACGAAUGGUGGAUGGAAAGGCUACCUCACCGGGAACCAGGGCCGCGACUUGUAGUGGGCAACUACUAGGCACUUAGCCGACUGGUGCACAUGGACGUGAUGACUUUGCGGUGUUUAUGGACCAACCAACCUGUAAUCAUGGGUCUUAUGUGUCUUCUAGACAAUUUGAUGUUUUGGGUAUUUUGGAGCUUGCACUCUGUGCAUGUGGAUACAUACUUGUGUUCUGGAGCUAGACCAUCUAGCUGAAGUCUCUCGUACCAGCAAAUAGUGCUCAUCCUUUUGCGACUUGUGUGUUCUGGUGCUAGACCAUCUAGCUGAAGUCUCUCAUACCAGCAAAUAACUUGUGUGUUCUGGGUGCUUGUUAAGAUGGUCAAAACUAUGCUUUGUCAAGAUUGUUGUGUUUGUCAAAUUGAGUUCAGUGUAUAUGCA